This 305-nucleotide ribosomal RNA is filed under the name uncultured bacterium. RNAcentral describes it as "bacterial SSU rRNA". It matches the Rfam family "Bacterial small subunit ribosomal RNA", at positions 333 to 657 of the family's 1533-position model. The record is from RNAcentral.
GGAGCCACGGGAGGCAGCAGUAGGGAAUAUUGCUCAAUGGGGGAAACCCUGAAGCAGCAACGCCGCGUGGAGGAUGAAGGUUUACGGAUUGUAAACUUCUUUUGUUAGAGAAGAUAAUGACGGUAUCUAACGAAUAAGCACCGGCUAACUCCGUGCCAGCAGCCGCGGUAAUACGGAGGGUGCAAGCGUUACUCGGAAUCACUGGGCGUAAAGAGCGCGUAGGCGGGAUAGCAAGUCAGAUGUGAAAUCCUAUGGCUUAACCAUAGCACUGCAUUUGAAACUGUUAGUCUAGAGUAUGGGAGAGG